UACGGAGGGGGCUAGCGUUGUUCGGAAUUACUGGGCGUAAAGCGCACGUAGGCGGCUUUGUAAGUUAGAGGUGAAAGCCCGGGGCUCAACUCCGGAAUUGCCUUUAAGACUGCAUCGCUAGAAUUGUGGAGAGGUAAGUGGAAUUCCGAGUGUAGAGGUGAAAUUCGUAGAUAUCAGGAGGAACACCGAUUGCGAAGGCAGCUCGCUGGGACGUAACUGACGCUGAGACGCGAAAGCGUGGGGAGCAAACAGG
This 253-nucleotide ribosomal RNA is filed under the name uncultured bacterium. Its description in RNAcentral is "partial 16S ribosomal RNA". It matches the Rfam family "Bacterial small subunit ribosomal RNA", at positions 524 to 776 of the family's 1533-position model. The record is from RNAcentral.